UCAAGAGGGAAACAACCCAGACUACCAGCUAAGGUCCCUAAAUCUUACUUAAGUGGAAAACGAUGUGAAGUUACUUAAACAACCAGGAGGUUGGCUUAGAAGCAGCCAUCCUUUAAAGAAAGCGUAAUAGCUCACUGGUCUAGUGAUUUUGCGCGGAAAAUAUAACGGGGCUAAAGUAAGUACCGAAGCUGUAGACUUGCGCACAACUUAGAUUAUUUAAGUUUAGAAUAUGAGAAACUAAGUUAUAUGUUUAGUUAUAUUUUUACUGAUUUUUAUAGAGUAAAGAUAGAAAUAAAACUUAGUAAAAUCAGUAAAAAUAUUCUUAGACUAAAGUUAAGUAGUUUAAGUUGUGUGCAAGUGGUAGGAGAGCGUUCUAUUUGCGUCGAAGGUAUACCGGUAAGGAGUGCUGGAGCGAAUAGAAGUGAGCAUGCAGGCAUGAGUAGCGAUAAUUAAUGUGAGAAUCAUUAACGCCGUAAACCCAAGGUUUCCUACGCGAUGCUCGUCAUCGUAGGGUUAGUCGGGUCCUAAGUCGAGUCCGAAAGGGGUAGACGAUGGCAAAUUGGUUAAUAUUCCAAUACCAACAUUAGUGUGCGAUGGAAGGACGCUUAGGGCUAAGGGGGCUAGCGGAUGGAAGUGCUAGUCUAAGGUCGUAGGAGGUUAUACAGGCAAAUCCGUAUAACAAUACUCCGAGAACUGAAAGGCUUUUUGAAGUCUUCGGAUGGAUAGAAGAACCCCUGAUGCCGUCGAGCCAAGAAAAGUUUCUAAGUUUAGCUAAUGUUGCCCGUACCGUAAACCGACACAGGUGGGUGGGAUGAGUAUUCUAAGGCGCGUGGAAGAACUCUCUUUAAGGAACUCUGCAAAAUAGCACCGUAUCUUCGGUAUAAGGUGUGGUUCGCUUCGUAUUAGGAUUUACUCCGAAAGCGAAGAAACUUACAACAAAGAGUCCCUCCCGACUGUUUACCAAAAACACAGCACUCUGCUAACUCGUAAGAGGAUGUAUAGGGUGUGACGCCUGCCCGGUGCUCGAAGGUUAAUUGAUGGGGUUAGCAUUAGCGAAGCUCUUGAUCGAAGCCCGAGUAAACGGCGGCCGUAACUAUAACGGUCCUAAGGUAGCGAAAUUCCUUGUCGGUUAAAUACCGACCUGCAUGAAUGGCGUAACGAGAUGGGAGCUGUCUCAAAGAGGGAUCCAGUGAAAUUGUAGUGGAGGUGAAAAUUCCUCCUACCCGCGGCAAGACGGAAAGACCCCGUGGACCUUUACUACAGCUUGACACUGCUAUUUGGAUAAGAAUGUGCAGGAUAGGUGGGAGGCUUUGAGUAUAUGACGCCAGUUGUAUAUGAGCCAUUGUUGAGAUACCACUCUUUCUUAUUUGGGUAGCUAACCAGCUUGAGUUAUCCUCAAGUGGGACAAUGUCUGGUGGGUAGUUUGACUGGGGCGGUCGCCUCCCAAAUAAUAACGGAGGCUUACAAAGGUUGGCUCAGAACGGUUGGAAAUCGUUCGUAGAGUAUAAAGGUAUAAGCCAGCUUAACUGCAAGACAUACAAGUCAAGCAGAGACGAAAGUCGGUCUUAGUGAUCCGGUGGUUCUGUGUGGAAGGGCCAUCGCUCAAAGGAUAAAAGGUACCCCGGGGAUAACAGGCUGAUCUCCCCCAAGAGCUCACAUCGACGGGGAGGUUUGGCACCUCGAUGUCGGCUCAUCGCAUCCUGGGGCUGGAGCAGGUCCCAAGGGUAUGGCUGUUCGCCAUUUAAAGCGGUACGCGAGCUGGGUUCAGAACGUCGUGAGACAGUUCGGUCCCUAUCUGCCGUGGGCGUAAGAAGAUUGAAGAGAUUUGACCCUAGUACGAGAGGACCGGGUUGAACAAACCACUGGUGUAGCUGUUGUUCUGCCAAGAGCAUCGCAGCGUAGCUAAGUUUGGAAAGGAUAAACGCUGAAAGCAUCUAAGCGUGAAGCCAACUCUAAGAUGAAUCUUCUCUAAGCUCUCUAGAAGACUACUAGUUUGAUAGGCUGGGUGUGUAAUGGAUGAAAGUCCUUUAGCUGACCAGUACUAAUAGAGCGUUUGGCUUAUCUUUAAUAAAGCAU
Molecule: ribosomal RNA, 2076 nt
Filed under: Campylobacter coli
Lineage: Bacteria; Pseudomonadati; Campylobacterota; Epsilonproteobacteria; Campylobacterales; Campylobacteraceae
Description: partial 23S ribosomal RNA
Rfam family: Bacterial large subunit ribosomal RNA
Source: RNAcentral